AGCUGCGGCAGCGAACGUAUCACUUAAAGCGAUUCAGCGGAUGACGAUUGACGGAGCGAAGCGACGUCAAAGCGUAUACAAAGUCGAGUCGGUUUAAGGAUACGUUCGUUGGGUAGGGGAGCGUUCUGUAAGCCUGCGAAGGUGGCCUGUGAGGGUUGCUGGAGGUAUCAGAAGUGCGAAUGCUGACAUAAGUAACGAUAAAGCGGGUGAAAAGCCCGCUCGCCGGAAGACCAAGGGUUCCUGUCCAACGUUAAUCGGGGCAGGGUGAGUCGACCCCUAAGGCGAGGCCGAAAGGCGUAGUCGAUGGGAAACGGGUUAAUAUUCCCGUACUUGGUGUUACUGCGAAGGGGGGACGGAGAAGGCUAUGUUGGCCGGGCGACGGUUGUCCCGGUUUAAGCGUGUAGGUGUGUGUUCCAGGUAAAUCCGGUUCACUUUAACACUGAGGCGUGAUGACGAGGCACUACGGUGCUGAAGCAACAAAUGCCCUGCUUCCAGGAAAAGCCUCUAAGCAUCAGGUAACAUCAAAUCGUACCCCAAACCGACACAGGUGGUCAGGUAGAGAAUACCAAGGCGCUUGAGAGAACUCGGGUGAAGGAACUAGGCAAAAUGGUGCCGUAACUUCGGGAGAAGGCACGCUGACACGUAGGUGAAGUGAUUUACUCAUGGAGCUGAAGUCAGUCGAAGAUACCAGCUGGCUGCAACUGUUUAUUAAAAACACAGCACUGUGCAAACACGAAAGUGGACGUAUACGGUGUGACGCCUGCCCGGUGCCGGAAGGUUAAUUGAUGGGGUCAGCGCAAGCGAAGCUCCUGAUCGAAGCCCCGGUAAACGGCGGCCGUAACUAUAACGGUCCUAAGGUAGCGAAAUUCCUUGUCGGGUAAGUUCCGACCUGCACGAAUGGCGUAAUGAUGGCCAGGCUGUCUCCACCCGAGACUCAGUGAAAUUGAACUCGCUGUGAAGAUGCAGUGUACCCGCGGCAAGACGGAAAGACCCCGUGAACCUUUACUAUAGCUUGACACUGAACAUUGAGCCUUGAUGUGUAGGAUAGGUGGGAGGCUUUGAAGUGUGGACGCCAGUCUGCAUGGAGCCGACCUUGAAAUACCACCCUUUAAUGUUU
Molecule: ribosomal RNA, 1117 nt
Filed under: Salmonella enterica subsp. enterica
Lineage: Bacteria; Pseudomonadati; Pseudomonadota; Gammaproteobacteria; Enterobacterales; Enterobacteriaceae
Description: partial 23S ribosomal RNA
Rfam family: Bacterial large subunit ribosomal RNA
Source: RNAcentral